UAAGGNCUUCCCNAUGGGCGAANCCUUUUCCCAGCACGCCGCGUGAGUGAAGACGGAUUUCGGUUCGUAAAACUCUGUUGUAAGGGAAGAACAAGUACAGUAGUAACUGGCUGUACCUUGACGGUACCUUAUUAGAAAGCCACGGCUAACUACGUGCCAGCAGCCGCGGUAAUACGUAGGUGGCAAGCGUUGUCCGGAAUUAUUGGGCGUAAAGCGCGCGCAGGUGGUUUCUUAAGUCUGAUGUGAAAGCCCACGGCUCAACCGUGGAGGGUCAUUGGAAACUGGGAGACUUGAGUGCAGAAGAGGAUAGUGGAAUUCCAAGUGUAGCGGUGCAAAUGCGUAGAGAUUUGGAGGAACACCAGUGGCGAAGGCGACUAUCUGGUCUGUAACUGNACACUGNAGGCGCGAAAGCGUGGGGAGCAAACGGAUUAGAUACCCUUGGGUAGUCCACGCCGUAAACGAUGAAUGCUAAGUGUUAGGGGGUUUCCGCCCCUUAAUGCUGCCAGCUNAACCCAUUAANCCCUCCGCCUGGGGGAUUNCGGUCNCAAGACUGAAACUCAAAGGAAAUUGACGGGGGCCCCCNCAACCGAUGNAUCCUGUGGUUUUAAUUCCCAACCAUCACNNAAGAACCUUACCAGGCUCUUUGANAUCCC
Molecule: ribosomal RNA, 653 nt
Filed under: Lysinibacillus sphaericus
Lineage: Bacteria; Bacillati; Bacillota; Bacilli; Caryophanales; Bacillaceae
Description: partial 16S ribosomal RNA
Rfam family: Bacterial small subunit ribosomal RNA
Source: RNAcentral